GAUGAACGCUGGCGGCGUGCCUAAUACAUGCAAGUCGAGCGAACGGACGAGAAGCUUGCUUCUCUGAUGUUAGCGGCGGACGGGUGAGUAACACGUGUAUAACCUACCUAUAAGACUGGGAUAACUUCGGGAAACCGGAGCUAAUACCGGAUAAUAUUUUGAACCGCAUGGUUCAAAAGUGAAAGACGGUCUUGCUGUCACUUAUAGAUGGAUCCGCGCUGCAUUAGCUAGUUGGUAAGGUAACGGGUUACCAAGGCAACGAUGCAUAGCCGACCUGAGAGGGUGAUAGGCCACCCUGGAACUGGGACAGGGACCAGGGGUCUACGGGAGGGCGCAGUAGGGUAUGUUCCGCAAUGGGGGAAAGCCUUACGGAGCAACGCCGCGUGAGUGGUGGAAGUCUUCCGAUCGGAAAACUCUGUUAUUAGGGAAGAACAUAUGUGUAAGUAACUGUGCACAUCUUGACGGUACCUAAUCAGAAAGCCACGGCUAACUACGUG
Molecule: ribosomal RNA, 497 nt
Filed under: uncultured bacterium
Lineage: Bacteria
Description: partial 16S ribosomal RNA
Rfam family: Bacterial small subunit ribosomal RNA
Source: RNAcentral